UGCUUGGCGUGGUUCCAGAACCCAGGGUGUA
RNAcentral lists this non-coding RNA (31 nucleotides) under Homo sapiens (human). Lineage: Eukaryota; Metazoa; Chordata; Mammalia; Primates; Hominidae. The record is from RNAcentral.